This 480-nucleotide ribosomal RNA is filed under the name uncultured bacterium. RNAcentral describes it as "partial 16S ribosomal RNA". It matches the Rfam family "Bacterial small subunit ribosomal RNA", at positions 28 to 507 of the family's 1533-position model. The record is from RNAcentral.
GACGAACGCUGGCGGCGUGCUUAACACAUGCAAGUCGAACGAUGAAGAAAAGAAUUGAAGCUUCGGCAGAAAUUCAUUUCGGAUUAGUGGCAGACGGGUGAGUAACGCGUGAGCAACCUACCUCUUACAAAGGGAUAGCCUCGGGAAACCGGGAUUAAUACCUUAUAACAUUGCGACGAAGCAUUUCGAUGCAAUCAAAGCUACGGCGGUAAGAGAUGGGCUCGCGUCCCAUUAACCAGAUGGUGAGGUAACGGCUCACCAUAGUAACGAUGGGUAACCGGCCUGAGAGGGUGAACGGUCACACUGGAACUGAGACACGGUCCAGACUCCUACGGGAGGCAGCAGUGGGGAAUAUUGCACAAUGGAGGGAACUCUGAUGCAGCGACGCCGCGUGAGUGAUGAAGGAAUUCGUUUCGUAAAACUCUGUUCUAUGGGAAGAAAAGGACUGUACCAUAGGAGAAAGCUCCGGCUAAAUACGUG